Molecule: ribosomal RNA, 478 nt
Filed under: uncultured Planctomycetales bacterium
Lineage: Bacteria; Pseudomonadati; Planctomycetota; Planctomycetia; Planctomycetales
Description: bacterial SSU rRNA
Rfam family: Bacterial small subunit ribosomal RNA
Source: RNAcentral
UUCGCAAUGCCCGAAAGGGUGACGAAGCGACGCCGCGUGUGGGAAGAAGGCCUUCGGGUUGUAAACCACUGUCGGGAGUUAAGAAAUGCAAGGAUAUUAAUAGUGCCUUUGCUUGACUAAGGCUCCGGAGGAAGCCACGGCUAACUCUGUGCCAGCAGCCGCGGUAAUACAGAGGCGGCAAGCGUUGUUCGGAAUUAUUGGGCGUAAAGAGCACGUAGGCGGCUAUGUAAGUCGGUUGUGAAAGCCUUCCGCUCAACAGGAGAACAGCAUCCGAUACUACAUGGCUUGAGUGCGGGAGGGGAGAGUGGAACUUCUGGUGGAGCGGUGAAAUGCGUAGAUAUCAGAAGGAACGCCGGCGGCGAAAGCGGCUCUCUGGCCCAUAACUGACGCUGAGUGUGCGAAAGCUAGGGGAGCAAACGGGAUUAGAUACCCCGGUAGUCCUAGCCGUAAACGAUGGGCACUAAGUAGAGGGGUUUUA